This 73-nucleotide transfer RNA is filed under the name Ovis aries (sheep). It matches the Rfam family "tRNA". Rfam says of the family: Transfer RNA (tRNA) molecules are approximately 80 nucleotides in length. Their secondary structure includes four short double-helical elements and three loops (D, anti-codon, and T loops). Lineage: Eukaryota; Metazoa; Chordata; Mammalia; Artiodactyla; Bovidae. The record is from Rfam by way of RNAcentral.
UCCCUGGUGGCUGAAGGCAGUAAAGCGUCUGCCUGCAAUGCAGGAGACCAGGGUUCGAUCCCUGGGUUGGGAA